RNAcentral lists this long non-coding RNA (775 nucleotides) under Eutrema salsugineum. RNAcentral's name for it is "long non-coding RNA (ESAL_LNC000246)". Lineage: Eukaryota; Viridiplantae; Streptophyta; Magnoliopsida; Brassicales; Brassicaceae. The record is from RNAcentral.
UUUGAUUCCACAAACAACAAGUAAUUAGAGGCUUGAUCCCAUGGGCUAAUCCUCACGAGGGAAAUAAGUCUCAAAACGAAAUAUUUAGUGGUUUGAUUCCACAAACUACUUAAAAAACUCCAAAGAACAGAUUUGACUCAACACAUGAAGUGUUGAAGCAAAACAAAGAGAUUUCUAUUAAUAAAAGCGUGAAUACAAAUGAAAGAGGGGAAGUGCUUACAAAGUUCUUGACAUUAAAAGAGACCUAAUGGUUACUAUAACACGAAAACAGAUAAGUAUCAAUCAACAUAAAUGAAAGGAACAUGAUCAUUGAUCGCCAUAGCUAAACUAGCUUAGCCGUUAGGCAUCAAUGUAGAAGUUUCUGGACUUGUGGCUACAACAAUGGAGAUUGUCCUUAGGUAAUCUGGUGAAAAUGGACGUCUGAGAUCUCCUGCAGAGUUUGGAGGGUCAGGAUCAGGCGUGGAAGAUCAAGUUUUGAGGUGAAGGACACGCACAUUGCCAGAUAUGGAAAAUUGUUUAGUAGCUUUGCCAAAACGACAAAACUCUGAAGUGAUCAUGUGGUUCUAGGCCUUUAGUAGCUUCAGUGGACUUCAGUAGAGAGACAAAGAUUUGAGUGAAGAGAGAAGAGAGAAAAGAUACAAAAGAAGGGAGAGAAGAGAUACAAAAGACGAUAUAGAAGAGAAUAUACAAGCAAGAGAAGAGAAAGAAUAUAUAACACAAAACAUCACUUCUAAAGAGUAAGGGUAAAGUUGGAAUAUUAAAAAGUGAAAGUACA